UCCCUGGUAGCUCAGUGGGUUAGGCAUCCAGCACUGUCAUUGCUGUGGCACAGGUUCAACCCCUGGCCCAGGAA
RNAcentral lists this transfer RNA (74 nucleotides) under Sus scrofa (pig). It matches the Rfam family "tRNA". From Rfam's summary of the family: Transfer RNA (tRNA) molecules are approximately 80 nucleotides in length. The record is from Rfam by way of RNAcentral. Lineage: Eukaryota; Metazoa; Chordata; Mammalia; Artiodactyla; Suidae.